RNAcentral lists this ribosomal RNA (2897 nucleotides) under marine metagenome. RNAcentral describes it as "bacterial LSU rRNA". It matches the Rfam family "Archaeal large subunit ribosomal RNA". The record is from RNAcentral.
ACGUCGUCUGGGGAAUGGCUCGGCUCGGACGCCGAUGAAGGUCGUGCCAAGCUGCGAUAUAGCUCGGGGUAGGCGCAUGGAGCCUUUGAACCCGAGAUUGCCGAAUGGGACAUCCCGGAUGCUUUAUGCAUUCAAUCCUUCAGGAUGGGGAACGCGGGGAAUUGAAACAUCUUAGUACCCGUAGGAAAAGAAAUCAAACGAGAUACCGUUAUUAAAGGCGAUCGAAAGCGGUAUAGGGCAAACCGAAUCCCUUAUGGAAACAUAAGGGAGAUGUGGAGUUGGAGAUCCAUUUACAUCUUCGCCAAUGAGGCUCGAAGUCUCCUGGAAAGGUACGCCAUAGCGGGUGAUAGCCCCGUAGGGAAACAUUGGAAAGAUGAUUUUUGGAUAUCUCGAGUAGUGUGCGUUGGAUAUCGCGCAUGAAUGUGGGAGGCACUAACUUCCAACCCUAAAUACGUUCCGAGACCGAUAGUGUACUAGUAGCGUGAGUGAAAGCUGAAAAGUACCGUGGAAGCGAAGUGCAAAGAGCCUGAAAUCAGACGACAAUAGCCUUAUAUGGCAAGAAAGGAAAGAAGCAUUUAUUUGUGGACCGCUGUCAUAUUGUCCGUUUCGAAUAACGGGCCAGGGAGUUCCGAUCAAUGGCGAGGUUAAGUGGAUAACCACGGAGCCGUAGGGAAACCGAAUGCCCGCAGUUUACGAGGGGCAAGGUGGGCUCGCCUUCAAGUCAUUGGUGGGAUACCCGAAGCCGGUCGAUCUAUACGUGGGCAGGUUGAAGCCUGGGGAAACCUGGGUGGAGGACCGAACCGAUGCUGAGCUGCAAAUCGCUCGGAUGACCUGCGCAUAGGGGCGAAAGACCAAUCUAGACCGGUAAUAGCUGGUUCCUCCCGAGACUACUCGCAGGUAGACCUUGAGCGAGGUGGAUGAUGGGGUAGAGCACUGAUUGGGUAUUUAGGGGGAGAGAUCUCUCGGUACGCUGUCAAACUCCGAAUCUGUCAUCGCCGUAGACCUCAGGAGUGAGGGCAUCUGGGGUAAUCCUGAUGUCCAAAAGGGGAACAACCCAGCCCAAAGUUAAGGUCCCAAAAUGCCGAUUAAGUGUUAAGCUAAAGGGAGUCCAUGGUCUAAGACAAUUGGAAGGUGGGCUUAGAAGCAGCCACCCUUUAAAGAGUUCGUAACAGAUCACCAGUCAAGAUUGUGGGCCCCGAAAAUGGACGGGGCUAAAUCGGCUACCGAUACUUUGGAACUCCUACGGGAGAUUUGGUAGGGAGGUGUCGUGCGUGGGCAGAAGCAGGGCCUUAAGGUCCUGUGGACCGCGUUCGAAUAAGGAUCCUGGUGGUAGUAGCAGCAUAAGAAUGGUGAGAAUCCAUUCCGCCGAAAGGGCUAGGGUUCCUCGACAAUGUUUAUCAGUCGAGGGUUAGUCGGUCCUAAGGUUCCCCCUAACAGGAGGAAUCGAAAGGGAAGCAGGUUAAUAUUCCUGCACUGACAUUUACUCUGUUCUAUGUUCGACGCAUCGUGGUAGGGCGUGUAGGUGUGCCAAACUAUUCAAGCGUAUAAGCUUUUGGAGAACCGUAAUGGUGAGAAGGAAGUGAAAUCGUUAUGAGGUGAACUUGGUGUUUACUACGUCUGAUCUGCGGUGCCAGUGAAAAUUUCAUAGAAGUCAUAUAUGUUAUCCGUACCGAGAACUGACACAGGUGUCCCUGGGUUAGUAGCCUAAGGCGUCUGGAGUAAUGGAGGCGAGGGAACUCGGCAAAUUAGCCCUGUACCUUCGGUAGAAGGGGUGCCAAAUAUGAAGAUAUUUGGUCGCAGUGACUAGGGAGCUCCGACUGUUUAAUAAAAACAUAGGUGACUGCCAGUCCGAAAGGAUGAGUACAGUCGCUGAAUCCUGCUCAGUGCCGGUAUCUGAAACUCUGGUUCAACAGAGCGAAGGACCGGUAAACAGCGGGGGUAACUAUGACCCUCUUAAGGUAGCGUAAUACCUUGCCGCUUAAUUGGCGGCUUGCACGAAUGGCCCAACGAGAGCUCUACUGUCCCCGCCUUCAAUCCAGUGAAAUCGACGUACUGGUGCACAGUCCAGUUCCUUCUAGCAGGAAGCGAAGACCCCGUGGAGCUUUACUGCAACCUGUCGUUGUUAUAUAGUACUUAAUGUGCAGAGUAGGCGGGAGACGUUACACAGGUACGGACGCAAGUCCGUCACCGAGUCACCGAUGAGACACCGCCCUUUUCGUGCCGUAUAACUAACCGUCUCGAUGGGACACCGAUAGGUGGGCAGUUUGGGUGGGGCGCCACGCGCUCGAAAAGAUAACAAGCGCGCCCAAAGGUCAACUUAGGUAGGUCAGGAAUCUACUGAUAAGUGCAAAGGCAAAAGUUGGCUUGACAUGGUCCGGGACAAUAACGAACCAUGAUGCGAAAGCAAGGCUUAGCGAACCAAUGAACCUCAUUAGUGGGGGUCAUUGAUGACAGAAAAGUUACCCCGGGGAUAACUGAGUUGUCUUCAGCAAGAGCUCACAUCGACCUGAAGGCUUGCUACUUCGAUGUCGUCUCUUCCUAUCCUGGUAGUGCAGCAGCUGCCAAGGGUGGGGUUGUUCGCCCAUUAAAAGGGAUCGUGAGAUGGGUUUAGACCGUCGUGAGACAGGUUUGUUGCUCCCCGCUAGAAGUGUUAGGCGCUUGAGGGGAAGGACCCUUUAGUACGAGAGGAACAAGGGCUCGCAGCCUCUAGUUUACCAGUUGUCUGGCAAGGCAUCGCUGGGCAGCCACGCUGUAAGGGAUAAAGGCUGAAAGCAUCUAAGCCUGAAGCCUACCCUGAAAAGAAGCGCCAUUGAGAUUCCAGUAGAAGACUGGGUUAAUAGGAUUGGUGUGUAAGUAUCGAGGAUUAUUCCUACCAACCUCUUUUGCGGGAAAAGCGG